AUUGAACGCUGGCGGCAUGCCUUACACAUGCAAGUCGAACGGUAACAGGUUAAGCUGACGAGUGGCGAACGGGCGAGUAAUGUAUCGGAACGUGCCCAGUCGCGGGGGAUAACUGCUCGAAAGAGCAGCUAAUACCGCAUACGACCUGAGGGUGAAAGCGGGGGAUCGCAAGACCUCGCGCGAUUGGAGCGGCCGAUAUCAGAUUAGGUAGUUGGUGAGGUAAAGGCUCACCAAGCCGACGAACUGUAGCUGGUCUGAGAGGACGACCAGCCACACUGGGACUGAGACACGGCCCAGACUCCUACGGGAGGCAGCAGUGGGGAAUUUUGGACAAUGGGCGCAAGCCUGAUCCAGCCAUGCCGCGUGCGGGAAGAAGGCCUUCGGGUUGUAAACCGCUUUUAUCGGGGAAGAAAAGGUUCUGGCUAAUACCUGGGACUCAUGACGGUACCUGAAGAAUAAGCACCGGCUAACUACGUG
RNAcentral lists this ribosomal RNA (477 nucleotides) under uncultured bacterium. RNAcentral describes it as "partial 16S ribosomal RNA". It matches the Rfam family "Bacterial small subunit ribosomal RNA", at positions 30 to 507 of the family's 1533-position model. The record is from RNAcentral.